RNAcentral lists this unclassified non-coding RNA (210 nucleotides) under Hevea brasiliensis (rubber tree). The record is from RNAcentral. Lineage: Eukaryota; Viridiplantae; Streptophyta; Magnoliopsida; Malpighiales; Euphorbiaceae.
GGGAAAUGGAAUGCUAGCAAUGGCAAUACAAACGUGUGCAUUAAUAAUCGAGAGAUCACUAGAAAAGAGCUCCGGAUACUGAAGAUGGCUGGAGUACCUUGUGAAGGAAGACCUUCGUUUUGGGUUAGUGUAGAUGGAUCCUAUCAGGAAGAAGGAAUGAACAAUGGGGGGAAAAUAUGGGACAAGACUAGAACGAAGCUUGCAUGUGCC